Molecule: non-coding RNA, 218 nt
Organism: Clostridium sp. ATCC 29733
Lineage: Bacteria; Bacillati; Bacillota; Clostridia; Eubacteriales; Clostridiaceae
Source: Rfam
CAGCCUUUUGGCUGUGGAGGCGGCGGGCAAAAGCCCUGCCGCCGGACGGGGAAUGCGGUGCAAAUCCGCAACAGCUCACUCUACUGUGAGAGGGGACGAACCCCGCAACCACUGGCGCGCGUUCUGGGCGCGCGCUGGGAAGGGCGGGGGGAGGAGUGGCGGCCAACAGGCCGCCCGCAGCCUCAAGUCAGGAUAUCUGCCGGCAAUGUAUACGUAUA